Molecule: unclassified non-coding RNA, 279 nt
Filed under: uncultured fungus
Lineage: Eukaryota; Fungi
Description: partial contains 5.8S ribosomal RNA, internal transcribed spacer 2, and large subunit ribosomal RNA
Source: RNAcentral
AACGCACAUUGCGCCCACCAGCACUCUGGUGGGCAUGCCUGUUCGAGCGUCAUUUUCCACCCUCAAGCCCUGCGGGCUUGGUGUUGGGGCUUCUACGGCGGGGCUCGCCCCCCGUAGGCCCUUAAAGUCAGUGGCGGGCUCGCUAGCACUCCGGGCGUAGUAGCUUUUUACACGUCGCCUAGGGGGUCUGGCGGGCAACCGGCCGUAAAACCGCGACUGCUGUCGCACACUUUAUAGAAGGUUGACCUCGGAUCAGGUAGGAAUACCCGCUGAACUUAA